RNAcentral lists this ribosomal RNA (574 nucleotides) under uncultured bacterium. Its description in RNAcentral is "bacterial SSU rRNA". It matches the Rfam family "Bacterial small subunit ribosomal RNA", at positions 265 to 853 of the family's 1533-position model. The record is from RNAcentral.
CCACCAAGGCGACGACGGGUAGCUGGUCUGAGAGGACGAUCAGCCACACUGGGACUGAGACACGGCCCAGACUCCUACGGGAGGCAGCAGUGGGGAAUCUUGCGCAAUGGGCGAAAGCCUGACGCAGCAACGCCGCGUGGGGGAUGAAUGCCUUCGGGUUGUAAACCCCUUUCAGUGGGAACGAAAUUGACGGUACCCACAGAAGAAGCCCCGGCCAACUACGUGCCAGCAGCCGCGGUGAUACGUAGGGGGCGAGCGUUGUCCGGAUUCAUUGGGCGUAAAGAGCUCGUAGGCGGCUUGGUAAGUCGGGUGUGAAACCUCCAGGCUCAACCUGGAGACGCCACUCGAGACUGCCCUGGCUGGAGUCCGGUAGGGGACCACGGAAUUCCUGGUGUAGCGGUGAAAUGCGCAGAUAUCAGGAGGAACACCAGUGGCGAAGGCGGUGGUCUGGGCCGGUACUGACGCUGAGGAGCGAAAGCGUGGGGAGCGAACAGGAUUAGAUACCCUGGUAGUCCACGCCGUAAACGUUGGGCACUAGGUGUGGGACCUUAUCAACGGGUUCCGUGCCGCAGCU